RNAcentral lists this ribosomal RNA (305 nucleotides) under uncultured bacterium. Its description in RNAcentral is "bacterial SSU rRNA". It matches the Rfam family "Bacterial small subunit ribosomal RNA", at positions 334 to 655 of the family's 1533-position model. The record is from RNAcentral.
GUGCACCUACGGGGCGCAGCAGUGAGGAAUAUUGCACAAUGGGGGAAACCCUGAUGCAGCAACGCCGCGUGAGUGAUGACGGCCUUCGGGUUGUAAAGCUCUGUCUUCAGGGACGAUAAUGACGGUACCUGAGGAGGAAGCCACGGCUAACUACGUGCCAGCAUCCGCGGUAAUACGUAGGUGGCGAGCGUUGUCCGGAUUUACCGGGCGUACAGGGAGCGUAGGCGGACUUUUAAGUGAGCUGUGAAUUACUCGGGCUCAACUUGAGCGCUGCAUUUCAAACUGGAAGUCUAGAGUGCAGGAGA